UUACACCUACCAACAUGCUAAUCCACAGUAUAUUAAUCAACCAAACCUAAUCCUUGCAUUACACAUCUCAAACGCUUGCAAAUUAUCAGCAGUACAAACUCUAAAGAGCAGAAGAGAUAUCAGAAAAAAAGAUAUGAAUAAAGCAUCUGUAAAGCUGGUUUUUUUGGUUGUCUUCUUCAUUUUCAUUGCAGGUAUUUAGUUUCUUUUCUGGGUAUUAUUAUUAGAAAAAAUGCGGGUAUGAUUUAAAAAUAUUCUACUAAUAUUAUCGGAUAACGCGAUUGUAGGUGGAACUUCAAACAAUGGAGUAGAAGGAAGAGUUAAUCCAUUGGUGUGCUCAUUAUGUGAUCCCGCAUGCAUUUGCAGCUUUUUCGGAAGCUGCAUUUGCGGCGAGAAAUCACCGGUAACUUCUCAUAUCUCGAACAUCGGGUCAACAAUUACGAGAUAAAAUGUUUGGCUUCAUGUGAAGAGCAAGGGCGUUGCUUGGAUGGUACUUGCAUAUGCCCCUAGUGAUAAUAGUUGAAUAAUAAAAUAAGCAUUAAUCAUGUAGUUUUGGUUCGGGGAGGAACUUGUAACUUUUUUAUCUAAAGUUAUCAAUUCACUCUACUAAUUUCUCUUUUUUAUUUUUAGUCGAAGAACAUUUUUUCAACAUAAACUUCAAUUUCGAACGCAUAAUAUGUAGUGGUAGCUAUCGUAAUCUCGAAUCGAUGAAGUCA
Molecule: long non-coding RNA, 713 nt
Filed under: Linum usitatissimum (flax)
Lineage: Eukaryota; Viridiplantae; Streptophyta; Magnoliopsida; Malpighiales; Linaceae
Description: long non-coding RNA (LUSI_LNC006107)
Source: RNAcentral